Molecule: long non-coding RNA, 555 nt
Organism: Lemur catta (Ring-tailed lemur)
Lineage: Eukaryota; Metazoa; Chordata; Mammalia; Primates; Lemuridae
Exons: 5
Source: RefSeq, a predicted model, not a curated record
GUCCACAAACGAUCAUGGCGCAGUCGCCGUGUGCUGUGUGCCCAGGACCUGCCCGGGACUCAGGCUGCCAGGAGGGGUGCAGCGCACAGUCAGGACCCCGCCAGAGGAAGAGAGGCCUGGAGUUGCUGGUGGCUGAGCAAAGGAGAGAGGAGAGCGCGGGCUGAGAGCCACGGGGCGGGGGAGACCUCCGCACUGGCAUGACCUGGGCCGGGCCGCCCCAGGGGAAGGAAGCCUGGCGUCUGUGGUUUUUCUACUGUGUUCUGGAAUCUGGAUAUUUUGAGGAUAACCAGUGUGCCCCAUGCUGGCCAAAAUUCCUGGAAUGACAACCCUCAGGUCUCUGAUCCAUCCUGAGUCAUCUUUGGUAUCAGGUUCCUACCACCCUUAUAGAAGGAAACAAUACAGCAGAACAAAGUAACCGCUAUUCCAGAUGCCUCUUUCUGUUGCUUCUCAUCAUAUGCUACCACAUCCCAGAAAGCCUCAGCUAAGCAUUUGUCCCAGUUAUCACAGAAGGAAGAUGCAGUUUCUGGUAAUAUAUGAGUUUUAAUUCCACCAUAA